CCUGAGAGACACGUGUGACAUUAGGAAGGAACACUUAGAAAUGGUAGUCCGAGGCGCAGAGGAACGGAGCCUGGCCUGGUCCUGUAUUCGAUUCGUGGAAGUAGAAAGAGAGACAGUCAUCACUCAUCACUGAAGCGUGGUUUUGGUCUGACAUGGCGAGUAACAGAGAGAGAGAUGAGUCUCUUACAUUCACAAUCCCUUCUUCCUCUUCUCAUUCUUCCCCCAUCACCGUCUCCGACCAACUCGACAGUUACCUCGCCGACCCCAGAAGCGCCUCCGGAAGCUUCCAGAACGACGGCCUCCUCUCCGCCGGUGACGCCGCCGCCGCUGAUCCCGACUUCGGAUUCUACCGUCCUGAUUUCCGUCAGAACCCCCUCUCCGGCUCCGUCGAGUUCUACCAACGCCACGUCUUCCUCUGUUAUAAGAACCCUCGCGUCUGGCCACCGCGAAUAGAAGCGGCAGAGUUCGAUCGCUUGCCGAGGUUGCUCUACGCCGCCGUUGUCGCAAGAAAGAGUCAGAUGAAGAAGGAGACUCGGUUAACGAUAUGUGAGGGUCAUGAUGGAACUGAGACAUCUAAUGGGGAUGUGUUGAUCUUUCCUGACAUGGUUAGAUACAGGAGGUUAACGCAUUUUGAUGUUGAGACGUUUGUGGAAGAGGUUCUUGUGAAGGAUGGGGAGUGGCUUCCCGGAACCCCUGAGGCUUUGAGAGGUUCUUAUAUUUUUGUGUGUUCACAUGGAUCCCGUGAUCGCAGAUGCGGGGUUUGUGGACCUGUCUUGGUCAGUAGAUUCAGGGAGGAAAUAGAGUUGCAUGGUCUUCAAGGUAAAGUGUUUGUAAGCCCGUGUUCACACAUUGGGGGAAGUCAGUAUGCAGGAAACGUCAUUGUGUUUGGACCUAGCAUGAAUGGAGAAGUCACUGGGCACUGGUAUGGUUAUGUUACCCCGGAUGAUGUACCUUUAUUGCUUCAACAUCAUAUCGUAAAAGGGGAGAUCUUAGAUUCACUAUGGAGGGGUCAGAUGGGUUUAUCAGUGGACGAACAGCAGAAAAAGCAUGAACAGAGGCUUCUGCUGAAUGGCUUAAGAGAUUUAGAAGAAAGCACUCAAGUGUGUAGGCCUCAAGACAAUUUUGUGAGCUGCCAAUCAAUUGGAGUGAACUGCUGCCAAUCAAAUGAAGUUGUCUGUUGCCAAUCAAAUGGAGACCCUUCUUUCCGUCAGAAUCAUGUGUUAGUGGAAAAGAGAAAGGACCCUGAUGUCAUUGAGACACAGGCAAAACUCUCAGCUGAUAAUAAGAGCAGUGAAACUGUGAUUUCUCGGAUCAGUAGUGGCAAAGGAGCUUCGCGCAAGUUUCCAUCCAUGACUACUUGGCUUGAUUGGGAGCAGGAAGAUACUUAUGCAGCCCUUGCUGUUGUCUGUGCUGCUGUGUCUGUUGCGAUUGCCUAUAACUGCUACAAACAAUUGAGAUAAGAGGAAUCGACUUUGGCAGCGUUAUUAAGUGGUUCAGAUACUUAAGCUUUACUAUAUCUGGAUAUUAGCUUCAUGUCUGAUACUAGUGCGGUUCUUCUUUAGAUCAGUCCUUACUGAACAUACAGGGAAACCAGUGGAGCUCAAUCUUUAAUCUGGAUGUGUGCGCUUUAUUGCAUGUGCUUGCAGAGUAUUAUUAUUUAAUGGUGACAACAGUCAUGGAUGGGACUUAUGAAGAUGAAACACUUGAUAUAAAAGAAUGCAGCAUGUCCAGAGUCUUUUACCCUUGUUGGGAACAGAAAAUUAAACCAUAUAGAACAUGAUUAUUGAUAAAGAAAUUUCUCAAAUGUUGUGUCAAGAAUAGAUGGGGAUCGUGAGUUUUAUUGAGAAAAUAAGUUGUAGUUUGCAAGAGGAUAAUAAAAAAAAUGUUGCAGGACAAAUGACACUUGAGGAAAAAUACUUUCUUCAACUUUUAUUAUGGUAACCCUGAUGAAUGGUAUAUUGUGUAACAAUGUCUCAGACACGGUUCUGAACACAGAUGUACAUUUUGUAUAAAUAGUGUUAAUUAACGGAAGAAGUGUAACUUUUAUGUUC
Molecule: RNA transcript, 2051 nt
Organism: Cajanus cajan (pigeon pea)
Lineage: Eukaryota; Viridiplantae; Streptophyta; Magnoliopsida; Fabales; Fabaceae
Source: RefSeq, a predicted model, not a curated record